This 383-nucleotide ribosomal RNA is filed under the name uncultured bacterium. RNAcentral describes it as "bacterial SSU rRNA". It matches the Rfam family "Bacterial small subunit ribosomal RNA", at positions 28 to 413 of the family's 1533-position model. The record is from RNAcentral.
GACGAACGCUGGCGGCGUGCUUAACACAUGCAAGUCGAACGGUGACGGAGAGCUUGCUCUCCUGAUCAGUGGCGAACGGGUGAGUAACACGUGGGCAACCUGCCCAGACUUCGGGAUAACGCUUCGAAAGAGGUGCUAAUACCGGAUACGAGCUCCUUGGGCAUCCUUGGAGUUGGAAAGUUUUUCGGUCUGGGAUGGGCCCGCGGCCUAUCAGCUAGUUGGUGAGGUAACGGCUCACCAAGGCGACGACGGGUAGCCGGCCUGAGAGGGCGACCGGCCACACUGGGACUGAGACACGGCCCAGACUCCUACGGGAGGCAGCAGUGGGGAAUAUUGCGCAAUGGGCGAAAGCCUGACGCAGCAACGCCGCGUGAGGGAUGUAC